RNAcentral lists this microRNA (25 nucleotides) under Bombyx mori (domestic silkworm). Its description in RNAcentral is "bmo-miR-3216". Lineage: Eukaryota; Metazoa; Arthropoda; Insecta; Lepidoptera; Bombycidae. The record is from miRBase by way of RNAcentral.
UAUCAGGCAAAACAUUAGUCAAAUG